AUUGAACGCUGGCGGCAGGCCUAACACAUGCAAGUCGAACGAGCGGCGGACGGGUGAGUAAUGUAUGGGGAUCUGCCUGAUAGAGGGGGAUAACUACUGGAAACGGUGGCUAAUACCGCAUACUAUCGGAUGUGCCCAGAUGGGAUUAGCUAGUAGGUGGGGUAAAGGCUCACCUAGGCGACGAUCGCUAGCUGGUCUGAGAGGAUGAUCAGCAACACUGGGACUGAGACACGGCCCAGACUCCUACGGGAGGCAGCAGUGGGGAAUAUUGCACAAUGGGCGCAAGCCUGAUGCAGCCAUGCCGCGUGUAUGAAGAAGGCCUUAGGGUUGUAAAGUACUUUCAGCGGGGAGGCGUUACCCGCAGAAGAAGCACCGGCUAACUCCGUGCCAGCAGCCGCGGUAAUAC
This 406-nucleotide ribosomal RNA is filed under the name uncultured bacterium. RNAcentral's name for it is "partial 16S ribosomal RNA". It matches the Rfam family "Bacterial small subunit ribosomal RNA", at positions 30 to 526 of the family's 1533-position model. The record is from RNAcentral.